RNAcentral lists this long non-coding RNA (2942 nucleotides) under Marmota monax (woodchuck). The record is from RNAcentral. Lineage: Eukaryota; Metazoa; Chordata; Mammalia; Rodentia; Sciuridae.
AUUAAAUGGAAGAGUUUAUAUCUUACUUUGAGAUGCAUUAUAUUUGGGAAGGAGACCAGUAGAUUUAUUUUCCCAGUACUUUUGUCUGGAUAACCAUUAUGCGAAUUUGACUGGUUUUGAUCCCCUACGUUGUUGAGGAAAAGUGGUUCAGGAAUGUCAUGCUGACUGGAAGGAAUGUACGCUCUAAUUACAAUUUUACUGUGGCUGUCACUCCCCAGGGUAGAGGUAGGAGUUUGGGGGCAACAGUUCAUUAAGACUGUGCUGUGUUGGAAAUGCAACAAAAUUUAACACUUAAGAAAGAAGAAGUAAUGUACAUACUCUGAAGAGUUCUUUGGGGCACUACAGAAAAGAAUGCAUUAGUAUAAAAUACUACUUAAUGAAUAAUGUGUCCCCCUUAUGCAUUUAGGGAAGAUUUGAUCCAAUGUUUUGCAAGUUGACUUAAGCAACUAGGUUAUAAACAAAUUGCAUUAGAGAAAAAAAAUUUAAUUAGUUAUUUCUUUGUGUUGCUCAGCUAAGUGUACAGUUAAAUUACUAGAUACAGAAAUUUGAUAGCAGCGUAACUAUAAAAUAUCCAUAAGAAAAAAUGGUUCCCAGGGAAAAUCGAUGUAACCAUUUUAAAACAAUCCAUCUUCAGUACUAGGUAUAGGCCAAGUGGUCCUAAUGUCAAGAUUGCUCACUUGAAGAACAGCACACGUGGAGACUUCACACAUUAUCUCUCAAUGCUAAUUAUAUCUUUAUCAAAAUAAGAUAUGCCUAUUUCACAUACUUUCACAAAUUAUUAGAUAUUAAAUUAAGCUGGUACAUUCAUUGUUUUCUUCUCAGAGUAAUAAAAAAUUAGUUCAACUGGAGCUGGAUAAUCAUUUUAAUAAUUUAAGGAAUAAGUGUACCUGUGCUGCUGUCUCAAUACUUUCAUUUCCUCUGUAGUUGAGAAAAUUUGUGUCAUCAUAUUCUGUAAAGUUUCAUGAUUCGUAGAGCCUUCCUCCCCAAACUGUAUGCUCAUUCCCCUGACAAAUCCAGAAUUCUUUAGCACUUUCAACAUCAACACUGUAGCCAUACCAUUUGUGGUUCUGUGACAAUGCUUUUGCUAAAAUCUAUUUACCACUGAUGGAAAUGAGUUUUAAACACAGGCUUUAAUAUGAUGCUUGAUUUACUUAAGAUACCACAUUAGUAUUUGUGGUGAGCCUCACAGUGGUACCUACGGUAGCAUACCACACCUGGAGUCCCAGUGGUUUUGGUUGUAGGCACCUCUGUAACCUCCUUACUGUGCUGAGCAUGUGUUUGCUGUUAGGGACAUUUUCUGUCACCCUGAGACAAUCUAGCCAGACACUCUGAAAAAGAGAUUCCCCACCUAACACUGGUACCAACAUUUGUUUUUCCUAUAGCUUAUCAAUAAAGGGGAAGUUGAAGGUUAUGGGGCAAACAUACUCAGCUAGUUUGAAGAUGGGACUUUUUUCACCCAAGACACAUAAAUAAGAGAUGAGUUCAAGGUGUUAAAUAAAACAUUUAUGAGGUCCAAUUAAUGGCAUAAAUAGGUACUGUUGUAGGGACAAACGAGGCAAGGCACCAAAGAUAGCAAGAAACAGUUUUAUUUGGCUGCAGCCAGGUUCAGAGGGCACAGCUUUUGUGGUAAUCAAUUAAUUCUCUGAACCCGAGUUCAGGUAGUUUCAGAGUUUUAUACCCAGCAUCUAAGGGGAGGGGCUCAGAAGUUCACAGUCUGCAAAAGUUCACAUAAAAGCAGCUUUUUCUUUCACUGUUCUGGGCAAGUUAACCCUUCAAGGACAACCCCUGAGAAGGGGAGAGUUUCUUCUCCCCUUUCUUUCCUCCCCCUGCCAGCUGUUACCAUGGAGCCCAUUUGUAACUUAUCUUAAAAAUGUAGUCAUCUCUGUGAAGCCCCAGCUCAAGGCCAGAGGCCUUGUUUGCACAUUUCUUCAAAGUACUAUACUGGAUAUGUUUGUGAAAAACUAGUAAUGGGGUAUCCAGCACCUGGAGUGCUGGUAUCUUCUCGGCCAGUGGCCAAGUAAACAGGGCGACACAAAAAUAGGAAGUUUACCUACAUUGAACUCUUUGGCAGAGACGCUUUUGCUGACAGUCCUAAAAUCAGUCUGGGUGAAGAUUUCUGGAGAGGCCCAGUUAAGACUUUUCAGUGGAGAAAGGGGGUGCCACUUCAGUACAGCCUUAAUACAUUUUUGACAAAUUUAAUUUGAAAUAUAAUAGGAAAUUAUAUAAAUAUCAUACAUUAACAAGUAAACUUUAUUUGUUUAGCAAAAACCUUUCCUACCCUGUAAACUCAAUGACAGUGAUUUCAUGCUCUUUCAUGACUUUAAAUAUCUUUUAUAUGCCACCUGCUCACACAUUCAAAUUUGUAACCCAGGCUUCCUAAACUCCAAUAUUUUAUAUCCAGCUUCCACUUUAAUGCCUACUUUGCUAUUCAGACUUAAUAUGUACAAAGUCAAGCUAUUGAUUCUCCAUAUCAGUGUCUCAGACCAAAAGACUGUUUCAGAACUUUUCAUUUUUACCAUCCUACACGAAAUCCAUCAGGAAAUCUUGUUGCUUGUAGCUUCAAAAUGUAUCCACAAUCCGAAUACUUAACCCUUCACUAAUACCACUGUGGUUCAAAACAAUAGUGUGUCUAAAUUAUUGCUUUCUAACUGGAUUGUAAUUUUGAGGCCAAUCUCAGUAAUUUGGCAAGGCUCUAAGCAAUUAAGGGAGACCUUGUCUCAAAAUAAAAUAUAAAAAGGACUGGGGAUGUGUCUCAGUAGUUAAGCGCCCCUGGGUUCAAUCCCUGGUACCAAACAAACCUACCCCCUGCCCAAUAACAGCAAACUGCUGCUGAACUGUACAUUAUAUAUAUAUGUGUGUGUGUGUGUGUGUGUGUAUAUAUAUAUAUAUACACACACACACACACAUAUAUAUAUGUACAUAUAUAAUUAAUAUAUAUAAAU